UGGGGAAUAUUGCACAAUGGGGGAAACCCUGAUGCAGCGACGCCGCGUGAACGAAGAAGGUAUUCGUAUCGUAAAGUUCUGUCCUAUGGGAAGAUAAUUACAGUACCAUAGAAGAAAGCUCCGGCUAAAUACGUGCCAGCAGCCGCGGUAAUACGUAUGGAGCGAGCGUUGUCCGUAAUUAUUGGGCGUAAAGGGUACGCAGGCGGUUUAAUAAGUCGAAUGUUAAAGAUCGGGGCUCAACCCCGUAAAGCAUUGGAAACUGAUAAACUUGAGUAGUGGAGAGGAAAGUGGAAUUCCUAGUGUAGUGGUGAAAUACGUAGAUAUUAGGAGGAAUACCAGUAGCGAAGGCGACUUUCUGGACACAAACUGACGCUGAGGUACGAAAGCGUGGGGAGCAAACAGG
This 403-nucleotide ribosomal RNA is filed under the name bacterium. RNAcentral describes it as "partial 16S ribosomal RNA". It matches the Rfam family "Bacterial small subunit ribosomal RNA", at positions 355 to 776 of the family's 1533-position model. The record is from RNAcentral.